GACGUGGGUGGAAACCCUCGGCUCGGUCUUGGGCAUGAGGGAUCAAAACCCUCGGCCUGCAAUCCAGCGGCAGACUCCCUGCGUAGCAGUAGCGUGAUAGAAUCGUCAAUCGCGAUGCGCGACGGCGACGUCUAGCCAUAACCCCCAAAUCUGUCAUCAAUUUUGACCUCGGAUCAGGUAGGGAUACCCGCUGAACUUAA
Molecule: unclassified non-coding RNA, 200 nt
Filed under: soil metagenome
Description: partial contains internal transcribed spacer 2 and large subunit ribosomal RNA
Source: RNAcentral